RNAcentral lists this ribosomal RNA (468 nucleotides) under uncultured bacterium. RNAcentral's name for it is "partial 16S ribosomal RNA". It matches the Rfam family "Bacterial small subunit ribosomal RNA", at positions 28 to 507 of the family's 1533-position model. The record is from RNAcentral.
GACGAACGCUGGCGGCGUGCUUAACACAUGCAAGUCGAACGGAAAGGCCCUGCUUUUGUGGGGUGCUCGAGUGGCGAACGGGUGAGUAACACGUGAGUAACCUGCCCUUGACUUUGGGAUAACUUCAGGAAACUGGGGCUAAUACCGGAUAGGAGCUCCUGCUGCAUGGUGGGGGUUGGAAAGUUUCGGCGGUUGGGGAUGGACUCGCGGCUUAUCAGCUUGUUGGUGGGGUAGUGGCUUACCAAGGCUUUGACGGGUAGCCGGCCUGAGAGGGUGACCGGCCACCUUGGGACUGAGAUACGGCCCAGACUCCUACGGGAGGCAGCAGUGGGGAAUAUUGCACAAUGGGCGGAAGCCUGAUGCAGCAACGCCGCGUGCGGGAUGACGGCCUUCGGGGUGUAAACCGAUUUCGCCUGUGACGAAGCGUGAGUGACGGUAAUGGGUAAAGAAGCACCGGCUAACUACGUG